Equus caballus (horse) is the source of this 1495-nucleotide long non-coding RNA. RefSeq lists it as uncharacterized. NCBI's taxonomy places the organism in Eukaryota, Metazoa, Chordata, Mammalia, Perissodactyla, Equidae. The record is from RefSeq and is a predicted model, not a curated record.
CAUUAUGACCUCGAUAAAAUAAUUGGGAAAAACCCCUACAAAUUACAAAAAAUAAAUACAUUUUUAAAACAAGCUCAACUUGCCCAAGAUGAACCAUUCCCUCUCCCUAUUAAAUCUCCCUUCUCCUCACUUCCUAAUUCUGAAAACUAAAAACCUUUCAGUGCAGUUCCUUCUGGGCUUGCCACACAACUAAAAAAGCACGGUAUAAAUAACUUAGUGUUUCCAAGGAGUGGGCGUCUAAGGGAGUGUGUCUGCGUCCAACGCGGUAUCCAAAGCCUAUAAAGGUUUGAGUUUGAUUACACUCUAACGAAGAGGUGUCAAUUUUGUAAUAAGUCGUCAUUAAGGUUCUCGCUCUGAUCUAUCCAGGGAUGCGAAAAGAGACAGAGGCAGCCGUCAGCGAGGCCCCGAGGCGCGGGCGCGGUCUGCUAGGAAAGGGGUGGUAACGGGGGGCGGGGAGGUCCCCAGGAACCGAGGGAAGGGCUGUACCCGGGGACGUGCACCACCCGGGGACGUGCACCGCCCGAGGAGCUGCUGGGCGCCGCGGGCUGCGCCUCCCUCUCGGCUGACCGGGUCGGGAAGCCACGCAGGACCCGACCCGAACACCUGCGGCACCUUCCGUGAAGAACUGGAACCUCCGCGGCCACCUGCGCGCACCCACCCGGAUCUACUAGGGCCGAAACCACUUCCGGUCCAGCGACGGGCGAAGAGGACCUACCUCCAGCUGCGGCGUGUACAAUGAGCGACGCCAUCUUGUACGGAAGCUGCUGUUACAGCUGUGGCCCCCCAGUUUCUCCACUGCUGAACAAAGGAUCUGCUAAAAUUGGAAAGGCUUAACCUCUCUUCAGAAAAGUGAUGUUUUUGGUUUUGUUUCUGGGGUGGUAUUUUUGUUUCUUUUGGUUUGGGCUUUAAAGGGAGAAACCUCUGGAACCCUCACAUGUGCAAUAUGGGACAUCUAUUACUAAUUAGCGCGAGCAGUUUCUCUAUUAAUUUUCUUAACUGUUAAGUGGUGAAGGUAAAGAGGAGAGACAUUUGUUUAAAUAAUAUAUUCCUCAUCAGCAGUGCAUUUCAUACUAUAGCCAUUAUAAUAAUUUAUGCCAUCUUUUAUAACAACCACCACAAUAUUUUCCAGUUAUAUUUAAAAUCGUUCAACCAGUCUUUAUCAGCAACUAUUAUAUGCGAGGCAGCUAAUGUCUGCUCUGUGCUGUUGUUUUGUCAUAGACUGUGUAAAACAGAAAGAGAAAUGAGAUGUGCGUAAGCAAUAUAAGGUGUAAUAAUAGCUGCCACUUGUUAACUAUGUGCUUGCUCACAGUGUGCUAGGAACUUUGCAAAGUGUUUUACAUAUUUUAUCUCAUUUAAUCCUCAUAACAACCUCGUGAGGCAGUACUGUUAUUUAUGCCAUUUUGCAUAAAAUGGAGAAAGGUUAAAUAAAUUUCUUAAGGUAACCCAGCAAGUUAACAUUGUAUCUGGGAAUUAAACCUCAGAGUGUCUGAUUGUA